RNAcentral lists this non-coding RNA (512 nucleotides) under Pongo abelii (Sumatran orangutan). The record is from RNAcentral. Lineage: Eukaryota; Metazoa; Chordata; Mammalia; Primates; Hominidae.
CUCAGAUGCUUAAGUCCCUUAUAUGAAAGUGGUACACUGACAAGAAUUAAAGAUCACAGCCUCUUGCCACUUCAAGUCAAGUUUUGUGACAAACAGGUUCCUAAAAAGCUUUUGGUUGUCAGAGCUUGGUAGAUUUCAGAGUCAUGGGUAAGGACUGUGGGUGUGGAUGUAUCCAUGCUCAGCCCAGUGCCCGACAGACAGCAUCCUCCGCGUGGCCAGAUGAGUGGCUCUUAUGGAAACUCAGAGCAGAGCUUCUCUUGCCACCUCGGGCUACUGCAAGAAUGUUCUGGCACUGCAGUGCCACAUGUACCUCCCCUCUUAAAAACUGGGACUUUUCUUGGUGCCAUAGAGCUCAGAGAAAACUAGAAAUGAGAGACUGUCAAAACUGGCCUGGCCCUGUAGAAGCAUUUUUUUUUGGAUGGACUCAAUAGUAAGCAUAUGUUAAAAAUGUAAACUUACAAGGCAGGUUUCUAUGAAUAAACUACCAAUUUUAGUGUUUUAUCCACAGAAGA